UACGGGGGGGGCAAGCGUUGUUCGGAAUUACUGGGCGUAAAGGGCUCGUAGGCGGCCAACUAAGUCAGACGUGAAAUCCCCAGGCUCAACCUGGGAACUGCGUCUGAUACUGGAUGGCUUGAAUCCGGGAGAGGGAUGCAGAAUUCCAGGUGUAGCGGUGAAAUGCGUAGAUAUCUGGAGGAAUACCGGUGGCGAAGGCGGCAUCCUGGACCGGCAUUGACGCUGAGACGCGAAAGCGUGGGGAGCAAACAGG
This 253-nucleotide ribosomal RNA is filed under the name uncultured bacterium. RNAcentral describes it as "partial 16S ribosomal RNA". It matches the Rfam family "Bacterial small subunit ribosomal RNA", at positions 524 to 776 of the family's 1533-position model. The record is from RNAcentral.